RNAcentral lists this long non-coding RNA (506 nucleotides) under Brassica napus (rape). RNAcentral's name for it is "long non-coding RNA (BNAP_LNC018933)". Lineage: Eukaryota; Viridiplantae; Streptophyta; Magnoliopsida; Brassicales; Brassicaceae. The record is from RNAcentral.
CCUUCUCUUUACAGCAAGAGACAGCCUGUCCAAGACCAGAACUAGCCAAUCACACACAAGGAAGCUCCCAUUGGUUGUUUGCCUCCACAAAGCAUCUUCUUGAUUCCCUUUGACUAGAUUCAAACCUUGGUGCCUUAUCCAUAUACUAUGCACUCUUCACAUCAUAAAUAGUGACCCAAAUAGUGAAUAGUCAACCUGAAUAGUGACUAGUGAUUCACUAUUCACUUUUACACCAACUUGCCCAAACUUCUCAAAUCUUACUGUGGUAACUCUCUAAAGUUACUGUGGUAACUUUAGAGUUACUGUCUGACCCAAAUCUUCUCUAAAUGGUGUCUAAGUCCCUCCUGGACUUAACCCUAUCUUUGCACACUCAUCAGACCACUUCUGAAGCCUUAAGACUCUCCCAAAGCCUUAACAUACAAUCUCUGAAGAUCUUGCCAUGUCUUUGCACAAGCACCAACUCAACUCAUCACUUUUGCUUCUCCACUUCUUCUCUUCAAGUUAAC